GCUGGGAUAGCUCAGUUGGUAGAGCAUGAGACUCUUAUUCUUAUGGUUGUGGGUUCAAGUUCCACGUUGGGCA
Molecule: non-coding RNA, 73 nt
Organism: Podarcis lilfordi (Lilford's wall lizard)
Lineage: Eukaryota; Metazoa; Chordata; Lepidosauria; Squamata; Lacertidae
Source: the annotation of a GenBank genome assembly